This 2557-nucleotide unclassified non-coding RNA is filed under the name Bactrocera latifrons. Its description in RNAcentral is "aTP-binding cassette sub-family G member 1, transcript variant X4". Lineage: Eukaryota; Metazoa; Arthropoda; Insecta; Diptera; Tephritidae. The record is from RNAcentral.
CCAAAAUUGAAUGAGUCAGAGAAAACGCUGUGAGCGCAAACCGACUGAGUACGUGCAAAGUAAGCCCCGGUAAACAGUGAAAUUGAAAUGUGAGAGCACGAAAUGUUAUUGACCGGAGGAAGUGUUGGUAGUGCUUCACGAGCAAACGAACGUUGGAAAAACAAGCUACGAUUACUUCGAAUGUCUAUAAGAGAGCUGGUUGGGCUGUUCUGCAGUCUACUAAAAGCAAACGGAGUGUUAACACAUGUAUUUAAUACGGUGACUGUAUCAAGCAACUGUUGAAUUAUAUUUAAGUGAUAUAUAUUGAAGUGUGCAGAAUUGAACGGAAGAAAUGGAAUAAAGUCACAAACAUUUAUAAUGUAUAUUACGAAUACAAACUUAUAACCAAAUAAAUGAGUUCAAGAGAAUCUAUGUGAAUAAAUAAUUGUGGGAAGCUUUGUCAUGCUGGGGAAAAUCGAAUUAAGUAAAAACCAUGAUAAUUUUGUUAAAAAUAUAUAAACAAUGAGUAUACAAGUGAAGAAAAUAAAGAAAGUUAAUGUAAAAAAGUGUACAAACCAUAGUUUCAAGCCUAAUCAGUUUCAAUUAUAAAAUACCAAUUGAGAAAUACCCCAAUAAAAUUUAUACAUGCAUCUACAUAGUUUGUACAAAUGAAUAAAUCACAUCAACAACGAAUGCAAUAUCUAUAAAUAAGCCAGUGAAAAGACCUAAUAACCUUAACUCAAGAGAAAACAAAACAGGAGCAGAGCAGAACAUAAUAAAAGCUAUACUUUUAGCGAAUGUUAAUGAUAACGACAAAAAAAUGACUGUGAUGCAGGAUGUGAAGUCUACAGAUGCUUGUGUGGCGGGCAUUAAUUGCUGUUCUAAUACUGCUAACUCGGAAACGUCAAUCGACAAAUCAUCUGUUUGUAUGAAUCCCAGUUCCACGAGUAAUGUUUUGUACAAGCCGAGUAAUUAUGACAAUUGGGAAUCCAAUUUUAACCUUUGCAAACAGAUUGAUAUCGAAUUCGAAAAUGUGAAGUACAUAGUGCGGAAGUUUAAUUUUCAUGAACGAAAAUUUGUAACGAAGGAGAUUUUACAUGGGAUUAACGGCGCAUUCCGAGCUGGGGAACUUACCGCCAUAAUGGGUCCAUCAGGCUCUGGAAAGAGUACACUACUCAAUGUAAUGACAGGCUUUAGAGCCACUGGUGUAACAGGCACAAUAUGUAUCAACGGGGAUCCCAUUUCAACAAACUCACCCAGUUUUCGAGAACUUUCUUGUUAUAUACAUCAAGACGACUUGUUGAGGCCACUGAUGACCAUUGGUGAAACGAUGAUGUUAGCCGCACAUCUCAAGCUGGGCUUCAGUACAUCCAAGGAAUACAAACAAAACUUGAUCAAACAUAUAUUGGCCCUGCUGGGAUUGGAGCAUCGGUAUCAUGUAUUUGCGGGGAAGUUGUCUGGCGGCCAGAAAAAACGACUGGCCAUAGCACUCGAACUGAUAAGCAAUCCCCCCGUUUUGUUUUUGGACGAGCCAACUACUGGUUUGGACAGUUCGUCGUGCAGUCAAUGUGUAUCGCUAUUAAAAAAGUUGGCAUCUCUCGGUCAUACCAUAGUGUGUACCAUUCAUCAGCCUAGCGCAUUGAUUUUCGAGAUGUUCGACAAACUAUACACUGUUGUUGAUGGAAGUUGCAUCUACCAAGGGCCAGUAAGAGAGCUUGUACCAUUCCUAGAAGGGCAGGAUCUGGUGUGUCCAAGUUAUCACAAUCCAGCAGAUUUUCUGCUGGAGGUUGCGGUGGGGGAGCACGAUCGCGAUUUAGUAAAACUCAUAAAUGCAGCAAACAAAAAGUAUCACGAAGAUGCAGAUAACCAACAAAUAAAUGUGCAACGCUUGCUAUCUCGUAUUAAAAGUAAAGAUGCGUGCAGCAAAAUCGCUGGCAAUUUGAAACGUUUCCCCAACGUUAUGUCCAAACUUACGUCCUUCGAUUACGUAAAACCCGCCGCGGACGAAGUGGCUUUGGAGGAAGUGAAAUCGCUGAAUGCCAGUGUCGGCACAAGGGAAAAGUUGGAUGAUAAAGAUUGCGAUGCUUGCCCAACAGGCCGUGGGAAAAUUAAUGGCCGACGUAGCACGGCCUAUAAGGCUUUACACACCGAGCAGGCCUCAUUUAUAAUGCAAUAUUUUCUGCUUCUGAAUCGGAUCUUUAUAUGUGCCCGACGGAAUUAUUUCUUGUUGUUGGCUCGGUUGAUGUCACACAUUGUAAUUGGCUUGGUAUUUGGUUACUUGUAUAUGAAUGUCGGCGAUAAAGCGACCACUGUGCUCGGCAACUACGUCUAUUUGUACGGUACAAUUUUAUUGUUGGUCUACACCGGCAAAAUGGCUGUGGUGCUAACAUGAAAAGUAAUUAGUCGAACUGUUUUGCAUAAAUAAUUUUCAAUGAACAUGGGGAUUAACCUUAGAAAAUAAAUUACAAUUCUCGGAAAUAUUCAGGUUAUCCAUUAUUGAAGUUAUUUACUAAUACACCCCUAUUAUCUCAUCUAUAUUGGUUUUGGAACGGAACUAGCCACUACAUAAUGCACUUCA